This is a non-coding RNA of Coturnix japonica (Japanese quail), 656 nucleotides long. The record is from RefSeq and is a predicted model, not a curated record. Lineage: Eukaryota; Metazoa; Chordata; Aves; Galliformes; Phasianidae.
UAUUGUUAAGUAAAACAAGGAUGCCAUUUUUGCUAUGGGGAAAGCUACUACAGGGACUAUUUUUCUUGUCAGUAUGUAGCAAGCUCAAUGGGACCCCUAGUUAUCAGACAACUAAGCCUUUAUACACUGAGAAUAGUCUGUGAAAUCAACACAGUCUCUCUCCUAAAUUUGCAUCCUUUGAGAUAAAUGCAUUGCCAUGGACAAAAUCUGUGAUAGAUGGCUUAAUGUGUGAUAAUUCAUUGAAAGUCUUACACGUGUAAAGAUGAGAUUAACUGAGUCACGUUCAUGUCUACCCAUUAGUAAUAAGCUUGGCAGUGAGAAGAAUUUGUCUCAGGACUGGAGCCUGAGCAUGGAAAUGCACUCAUUGAGUUUGUGCUGCCACAAGGAUAAAGCUGCAAGAAAUUUGGUGUCCUGGAUGAGAGAACAGAAAAGGGUCUGUACUUAAGAAGAAGGAACAUAUUAAUUCCUUCAAAAUAUUUACUUUGGAUAUGCCAUUACCUGUAUAACGAAGAGAGCUGUGCUGCCAUUAAGAAGGGUCUGAACAGGCUGGAGAGAUGGGCAGAGAGGAAUCUCUUGAAAUUCAACAACAGCAACUGUGGAGACCUGCAUAUGGAAUAAUGCUAUGUACCAAUACAGGCUGAGGGCUUACCUGCUGG